RNAcentral lists this ribosomal RNA (195 nucleotides) under uncultured bacterium. RNAcentral's name for it is "partial 16S ribosomal RNA". It matches the Rfam family "Bacterial small subunit ribosomal RNA", at positions 326 to 539 of the family's 1533-position model. The record is from RNAcentral.
ACGCUCGACACCUACGAGCAGCAGUGGGGAAUAUUGCACAAUGGGGGAAACCCUGAUGCAGCGACGCCGCGUGAGCGAAGAAGUAUUUCGGUAUGUAAAGCUCUAUCAGCAGGGAAGAAACUGACGGUACCUGACUAAGAAGCACCGGCUAAAUACGUGCCAUCAGCCGCGGUAAUCUGAGCGGGCUGGCAAGGC